GUUGGUAUUGCUUGGGAGGGUCCUGGGGAGGGGAGUUCUGGCACCCCAACCUCUCACCCUAUGUUCUCCCACAG
RNAcentral lists this microRNA precursor (74 nucleotides) under Mus musculus (house mouse). RNAcentral describes it as "microRNA mmu-mir-1982 precursor". Lineage: Eukaryota; Metazoa; Chordata; Mammalia; Rodentia; Muridae. The record is from miRBase by way of RNAcentral. RNAcentral also lists the same sequence under 1 other name.